This is a long non-coding RNA of Stegodyphus dumicola, 257 nucleotides long. RefSeq lists it as uncharacterized. Lineage: Eukaryota; Metazoa; Arthropoda; Arachnida; Araneae; Eresidae. The record is from RefSeq and is a predicted model, not a curated record.
UUGUCUCUUUUUUUAUUUUAGUGUUAGACCGAGUUAAUAAAUUAUUACCUGAACUUGAAAAUAGCAAUGAAGAGUUGAUAAAAAAAUCCGAAGGAAAAAUUAUGGAUAUAGAAGAUUUAGAAGUCAGUAAAACAUAUAUUGAAAAGAAUGUAGCUGUAAUAAAGGGUGUGUCUGACGAGGAUAUGUUGCAAGAAUAGAAAACAAAUUAGUUUAUUAGUAUGUGAAACGUUUUCAAUAAAGGACUUUCAGAAAUUGUA